UUUUUUAUUCAUCUAUUUAUUUAUUUUUCGUCUCAAGUUGUUAUUCACCUGCUGUGAAAGUGAAGAAAAUAUGUCUGCCACGCAAAGUCUGCUUCAUUCGUUUUUAUUUAGUUCAUUUUUUGUUUAGAGGCUGUGAUUCUUUCAAGGAGAAAUUGAUAGCGAGAGGCAAGUGAUAAGAAAAGAAACAAGUAGGGAGCUGAAACUAGAGACGUUGAACCAAGCGAAUGGAAAAGAAAGCGUCGUCUGCUGGGCGGAGCUGAGCAGACGAUUAGAAGAGCAGACGGUACAAAAUGGAAGGCGAGAAGGGCAGAGAGAAAGCGAAAGAGAAAGUGAGAGGGGAAGCGAAAUAAAGAAAAAGAGAGAGAGGGGAAGCGAAAGAGAGAAAGAAAAGAAACCUGACUUGGCAGAUUACAUAUGAGCAUUUGACGAAAAGAUUCUGACCUGAGAUUAGCGUGACAAGUGGAGUUAGUUGAAGGGGUUAUACAUACAUGUAUGUACGUAUAUAUGUACGUUCAUUGACAUUUUUCUCAACGAUGCUUCAUACAUAGUAGUCCAGUGAAUUGAGAUCUGGAGAAUUAGGAGGUCAAAUAUCGGGGGUGAUAUGAUAAUGCAAAUUGUAGGCCAUCCGUUCUUGUGUCAUUUGAGCUUUGUGUGAUGGUCUCAAUAUACGCAGCAGUAUUCAUCCUAAAGGCCUUGUGGGAAAAAGUGAGGAGGUAUCAUAUGUCCUUCAUUGCUAACAAUACCCAAAACCAUGAAACUUGCAGGAAAUUUUGUGUGCAUUACUCUUGGAACCGCAGAAGGAUCUGCACAUAACCAUCUGUCAUUUCUUCUGUUAGUUUUCUGGUCCUGGUCAAAGUUUUUCUCAUUUGAGAAAAACCAAAUCACACCAUCUUAUGAUGGAUUUUUAAGUUUGUUCUUUUGGAUCUGAUUAAACGGUUUUCUUUUGUUUUUUCUGUCACGUAA
Octopus bimaculoides (California two-spot octopus) is the source of this 963-nucleotide long non-coding RNA. RefSeq lists it as uncharacterized. NCBI's taxonomy places the organism in Eukaryota, Metazoa, Mollusca, Cephalopoda, Octopoda, Octopodidae. The record is from RefSeq and is a predicted model, not a curated record.